CUGCAACCAAUUAAGCCAACCUGGUUCCUCUUCCGGUGGAUCCUGCAAUGGCUGCAGACAGCAUCCUCCUGGAUAGUGUACACAGCCUCUUCCUUGUAUAGGUUGCUCUAAGGGACCUAGGAGACAAAG
This is a small nucleolar RNA of Peromyscus eremicus (cactus mouse), 129 nucleotides long. RefSeq annotates it as small nucleolar RNA SNORA70. The record is from RefSeq and is a predicted model, not a curated record. Lineage: Eukaryota; Metazoa; Chordata; Mammalia; Rodentia; Cricetidae. The transcript has a single exon.